GGCUCGUUGGUCGAUGAAGGACGCAGGAAACUGCGAGUCUUUAUGUGAAUUGCAGGACAGAUGAACAUCCGACACUUUGAACACACAUUAUGGCUCCGAGGUUCUAUCCAAGGGCCACGCCUAUCUAAAGGUCG
This 134-nucleotide ribosomal RNA is filed under the name Meccus pallidipennis. Its description in RNAcentral is "partial pseudogenic 5.8S ribosomal RNA". It matches the Rfam family "5.8S ribosomal RNA", at positions 23 to 154 of the family's 154-position model. From Rfam's summary of the family: 5.8S ribosomal RNA (5.8S rRNA) is a component of the large subunit of the eukaryotic ribosome. It is transcribed by RNA polymerase I as part of the 45S precursor that also contains 18S and 28S rRNA. Functionally, it is thought that 5.8S rRNA may be involved in ribosome translocation. RNAcentral also lists the same sequence under 5 other names. The record is from RNAcentral. Lineage: Eukaryota; Metazoa; Arthropoda; Insecta; Hemiptera; Reduviidae.